Molecule: ribosomal RNA, 249 nt
Filed under: uncultured bacterium
Lineage: Bacteria
Description: partial 16S ribosomal RNA
Rfam family: Bacterial small subunit ribosomal RNA
Source: RNAcentral
UACGUAGGGGGCAAGCGUUGUCCGGAAUCAUUGGGCGUAAAGCGCGCGUAGGCGGCCCGGUAAGUCCGUUGUGAAAGUCAAAGGCUCAACCUUUGAACGCCGAUGGAUACUGCCGGGCUAGAGUCCGGAAGAGGCGAGUGGAAUUCCUGGUGUGGCGGUGGAAUGCGCAGAUAUCAGGAGGAACACCGGUGGCGAAGGCGGUCUCUGGCCGAUGACUGACGCUGAGGAGCGAAAGCGUGGGAGCAACAG